Molecule: ribosomal RNA, 464 nt
Filed under: uncultured bacterium
Lineage: Bacteria
Description: partial 16S ribosomal RNA
Rfam family: Bacterial small subunit ribosomal RNA
Source: RNAcentral
GACGAACGCUGGCGGCGUGCUUAACACAUGCAAGUCGAGCGGAAAGGCCACUUCGGUGGUACUCGAGCGGCGAACGGGUGAGUAACACGUGAGUAAUCUGCCCUUGGCUUUGGGAUAGCCACCGGAAACGGUGAUUAAUACCGGAUACGACCACUCCAGGCAUCUGGUGGUGGUGGAAAGUUUUUCGGCCAGGGAUGUGCUCGCGGCCUAUCAGCUUGUUGGUGAGGUAAUGGCUCACCAUGGCUUCGACGGGUAGCCGGCCUGAGAGGGUGACCGGUCACAUUGGGACUGAGACACGGCCCAGACUCCUACGGGAGGCAGCAGUGGGGAAUAUUGGACAAUGGGCGGAAGCCUGAGCAAGAAACGCCGGGUGAGGAAUGACGGCCUUCGGGUUGUAAACCUCUUUCGGUAGGGACGAAGCGGAAGUGACGGUACCUACUAAAGAAGCACCGGCCAACUACGUG